UACGGGGGGGGCGAGCGUUGUUCGGAAUUACUGGGCGUAAAGGGUUUGUAGGUGGCCUGCUAAGUCAGACGUGAAAUCCCUCAGCUUAACCGGGGAACUGCGCUUGAUACUGGAUGGCUUGAGUUUGGGAGAGGGAUGCGGAAUUCCAGGUGUAGCGGUGAAAUGCGUAGAUAUCUGGAGGAACACCGGUGGCGAAGGCGGCAUCCUGGACCAACACUGACGCUGAGGAGCGAAAGCUAGGGGAGCAAACGGG
Molecule: ribosomal RNA, 253 nt
Filed under: uncultured bacterium
Lineage: Bacteria
Description: partial 16S ribosomal RNA
Rfam family: Bacterial small subunit ribosomal RNA
Source: RNAcentral